CAGUAGCCGCGGGAAUACGUAGGUGGUAAGCGUUGUCCGGAAUUAUUGGGCGUAAAGGGCUCGCAGGCGGUUUCUUAAGUCUGAUGUGAAAGCCCCCGGCUCAACCGGGGAGGGUCAUUGGAAACUGGGAAACUUGAGUGCAGAAGAGGAGAGUGGAAUUCCACGUGUAGCGGUGAAAUGCGUAGAGAUGUGGAGGAACACCAGUGGCGAAGGCGACUCUCUGGUCUGUAACUGACGCUGAGGAGCGAAAGUGUGGGGAGCGAACAGGAUUAGAUACCCCCGUAGUCCCUGUCUCUUAUAC
RNAcentral lists this ribosomal RNA (301 nucleotides) under uncultured bacterium. Its description in RNAcentral is "partial 16S ribosomal RNA". It matches the Rfam family "Bacterial small subunit ribosomal RNA", at positions 509 to 807 of the family's 1533-position model. The record is from RNAcentral.